RNAcentral lists this ribosomal RNA (1806 nucleotides) under Triticum aestivum (bread wheat). Its description in RNAcentral is "partial small subunit ribosomal RNA". The record is from RNAcentral. Lineage: Eukaryota; Viridiplantae; Streptophyta; Magnoliopsida; Poales; Poaceae.
AUGAAGCGGGGUAAUAGUAAUACAGUUAAAUUAUUGAGUAGUAUACUGGUGCUGGUCGUCUUGGUUUUGUUGACUGGUAGUGUUCGAUCUGAUACAUGCUUGAAUACUGUUAAAGAAGACUCCAAAUUAGGGGCACCCAAUUACUCCGGUGUAAUAUAUACAGUCGACACUACUAGUCCUGAUGCCUAUAGGAAGAUGAUUGCUCGCCUGCGAGAGCUGCUGACAAGGCGCGGGGAAUACCGGCAAGGAGUGCCGAUACUUCCUGAGCAAACAAGCGUGCCUGAUUCUCAGCGGUACAUCUUGCUUGAAAUCAUUGUCGCGGGCACACCAAGAGGUGUAACAUUUGCUAUCGAUGUUACCAACGUUUACAUCGUCGGUUAUCUUGUUGGUAGCACUAGAUACUUCUUUAUGGAAGCUCCAGCCAGGGCAGAGGAGCUGCUCUUCACAGUUGCGGCAACUCAAACUUCACCAACAAGGAGGUCAUCCAACUAUGCCAAGCUGGAACAAAAUGCAGGUGCACCGAGGAGGGCCAUCCCGCUGGGGCUGCCUAGUCUGGCUGACGCCAUAAGAACACUUGUAACCACAAGACCAGAAGAUGCAAGGUCCCACCUAGUAGUUAUCCAGAUGGUUUCAGAGGCCGUGAGAUAUUGGGAAAUAGAGUUGAAUGUUCUCCAAGCUGCAAACAAUGCAAAUCCUUCGUUUCUACCAGACACCCGUAUGAUUGAUCUUGAGAACAACUGGUCAGCCCUCUCUUUGCAGAUCCAGACUAGUGAUGCAUUCGCAUUUCAAAGGCCUAUUACCAUCGGCGAUGAAGUCGCUGACAAUGUUCAGUCAGCAGUCAUAAGAGGCAUGUUUCUGAUGUUGUUCAGAUGCGCUAGGCCGCGUCGAGAUCUGCAGAUGCCGAUGGAGGAAGUUAGACGAAAGCGGUUGAUCGGCCCAGGUACUGAAAUAUUGCGAAGAGAUCUUGGCCUAUCCAUUGAUCCUCCUCCUGUGCAGAAGGAUGAUGACACAUGCAAGCAUUUGGCCGACUCAAGGAGUCGAAUAAUGGGCCGAGAUGGGCUUUGUGUUGAGGUGCAAGGGUUUAACUAUAGUGAUAGAAAUCCAGUUAUUCUCUUCGCAUGCAGGAGCGGUGACUUCGCGAAGCAACUUUGGAACUUCAGAACAGAUGGCCGGAUCGUAUCAUUUGGGAAGUGCUUGGCAGCAUCCGGAGUUACUCCUCGAAGCACCGUGGUGAUACAUGAAUGUGAGACCAUCCAUGAGUCCGCGGUUCGGUGGGAGAUGAGCAACUCCGGGACUCUGUCCAACAGGGCCAGCGGAUUGGCCUUGCAUGCUGCUUCUGGUUCUGGAAGGCCGCUGACGCUGCAGCGUGACAUUAGUUCCAGCUUCCAAGCCUGGCAAAGCACUAAUAUUAUUACCCCAGUUGACGUCUAUAUCCAGGGUGAAAAUAAUCGGUGCAUCUACUACAAUGGUGGAACAAACACUUAUGUAGAGGGAUGUCGCAAUGACUACUCCAGGCAAAAGUGGAGACUCUACCCAGAUAGUACCAUCCGACCUAUAGAGUGGCUGAAUGGAUGCCUCGAGCUUAGUACUUUCGUCGAGCACCCGAGGUAUAAUUUUAUCCAACUUGGGCAUUGCAAUAACCAUCCUGAGUACCAUCGCUGGAUCUUUACUCAGGGAUGCAUCAUGAAUUUAUAUAGCUCGUUGGUGGUUGACGAGGACAGGGACUAUCCAGCAGAAGGGUGGCUCAAGGCAGCGCCCUUCCAAGGUGGCCUCAAUCAAAUCUGGAAGCUUGUAUUUGUAUCAUAA